GUGCAGUGCAUAUACUGUUACACUCUAACUGAAAUAUUUUAUUGUUAUCCCUGCUUAAAGCACGUGAUGCGUAACUAUGUCUAUGUAACUCCAUUCCAUAGUUAGACAGAGAUGCUUGGUUUCCAACAU
Small nucleolar RNA from Saimiri boliviensis boliviensis (Bolivian squirrel monkey), 129 nucleotides. Its record names the gene SNORA63. It matches the Rfam family "Small nucleolar RNA SNORA63". Rfam says of the family: E3 belongs to the H/ACA class of snoRNAs and is involved in the processing of eukaryotic pre-rRNA and has regions of complementarity to 18S rRNA. NCBI's taxonomy places the organism in Eukaryota, Metazoa, Chordata, Mammalia, Primates, Cebidae. The record is from Ensembl.